Molecule: non-coding RNA, 253 nt
Organism: Nylanderia fulva
Lineage: Eukaryota; Metazoa; Arthropoda; Insecta; Hymenoptera; Formicidae
Source: RefSeq, a predicted model, not a curated record
UUUAGCAUUUAUAAAAAGAUUAAUAAUGAUAUGAUAAAAUAUGUUUUCUAUAUUGAUGAGAUUAAAAACUUGCUAACACAAUUUCCACGAAAAUCUAAUUACAAUCUAACCGAAAGAUCUUACAAAAUAUUGUUAAAACAGAUAAAGGAUAAUUCGAUAAAACAAACGCAUCAUACUUAUUGGAAAGUUACUCGCGAUUUAAUCGAAAGAUAUAGUAAUGUAAAAAAAGAUCACUUUCUAAAAUUACAAUCCU